This 497-nucleotide ribosomal RNA is filed under the name uncultured bacterium. Its description in RNAcentral is "partial 16S ribosomal RNA". It matches the Rfam family "Bacterial small subunit ribosomal RNA", at positions 28 to 507 of the family's 1533-position model. The record is from RNAcentral.
GACGAACGCUGGCGGCGUGCCUAAUACAUGCAAGUCGAGCGCUGACGGAUGGUACUUGUACCAACUGGAUGAGCGGCGAACGGGUGAGUAAAGCGUGGGGCAUCUGCCUUUGAGCGGGGGACAACAUUUGGAAACGAAUGCUAAUAAUGCAUAAAACCUUUAAACACAAGAUUUAAGUUUGAUAGAUGCAAUUGCAUCACUCAAAUAUGAUCCCGCGUUGGAUUAGCUAGUUGGUGAGGUAAAGGCUCACCAAGGCGAUGAUACAUAGCCGACCUGAGAGGGUGGUCGGCCAAAAUGGGAAUGGGACAAGGCCCAAGAUUCUACGGGAGGCAGCAGGUGGGAAUUUUUGGCAAUGGAGGGAAGGCUGACUCAGCAACUCCGCGGUAGUGAAGGAGGGUUUCGGAUCGGAAAACUCUGUUUGUAGGGAAGGACAAGGAGGAGGUUGAAAAGCUCAUCUAGUGACGGUAACCACCCAGAAAGGAACGGCUAACUACGUG